RNAcentral lists this ribosomal RNA (206 nucleotides) under uncultured bacterium. RNAcentral describes it as "partial 16S ribosomal RNA". It matches the Rfam family "Bacterial small subunit ribosomal RNA", at positions 568 to 773 of the family's 1533-position model. The record is from RNAcentral.
CGCGCAGGCGGUUGGGUAAGUUAGGCAUGAAAGCUCCCUGGCUAAACCGGGAGAGGAUGUCUGAUACUGGUCAACUGGAGUACGAUAGAGGGUGUAGAAUUCCGCGUGUAGUGGUGAAAUGCGUAGAGAUGCGGAGGAAUACCAGUGGCGAAGGCGGCACCCUGGAUCGAGACUGACGCUGAGGCGCGAAAGCAUGGGGAGCGAAC